RNAcentral lists this long non-coding RNA (311 nucleotides) under Otus sunia (Oriental scops-owl). Its description in RNAcentral is "lncRNA (ENSOSUG00000001849.1)". Lineage: Eukaryota; Metazoa; Chordata; Aves; Strigiformes; Strigidae. The record is from RNAcentral.
CAGCAAGCAGAGGGAAGUAAACCAGGAAAAGCCUCUUUUUGCCAUGUUGACGUUAACUUAGUCACCACUGACCAUUUUGGGGUUGACCAGCCUGGGUCCUGGCGCCAGGGACCUGAAGCAAGGAUCCUGACUGAUGCGUGUUUACUACGACCUGACUUAUUGAGGAGAACAAGGACUUCUCUGAAGGCCUGUCCCCUCAAAGCAGCAGGCAGGACAAGCUUGGCUAGAAAGAGAUACAUGGGACACACAGACAAUUAAAGACUAGAAUAGACACUGUGCUUCAAGUCCCAAGAUUUGUGAAGGAGGAUUUG